This 468-nucleotide ribosomal RNA is filed under the name uncultured bacterium. Its description in RNAcentral is "partial 16S ribosomal RNA". It matches the Rfam family "Bacterial small subunit ribosomal RNA", at positions 28 to 507 of the family's 1533-position model. The record is from RNAcentral.
GACGAACGCUGGCGGCGUGCUUAACACAUGCAAGUCGAACGGAAAGGCCCUGCUUUUGUGGGGUGCUCGAGUGGCGAACGGGUGAGUAACACGUGAGUAACCUGCCCUUGACUUUGGGAUAACUUCAGGAAACUGGGGCUAAUACCGGAUAGGAGCUCCUGCUGCAUGGUGGGGGUUGGAAAGUUUCGGCGGUUGGGGAUGGACUCGCGGCUUAUCAGCUUGUUGGUGGGGUAGUGGCUUACCAAGGCUUUGACGGGUAGCCGGCCUGAGAGGGUGACCAGCCACAUUGGGACUGAGGGACGGCCCAGACGCCUACGUGAGGCAGCAGUGGGGAAUAUUGCAGAAUGGGCGGAAGCCUGAGGCAGCAGCGCCGCGUGCGGGAAGACGUCCUUCGGGUUGUAAACCGCUUUCGCCGGUGACGAAGCGUGAGUGACGGUAAUGGGUAAAGAAGCACCGGCUAACUACGUG